RNAcentral lists this small nuclear RNA (18 nucleotides) under Arabidopsis thaliana (thale cress). RNAcentral's name for it is "snRNA_00452". Lineage: Eukaryota; Viridiplantae; Streptophyta; Magnoliopsida; Brassicales; Brassicaceae. The record is from RNAcentral.
UAAGACUGAAACAUAUAU